This is a transfer RNA of Thermaerobacter marianensis DSM 12885, 82 nucleotides long. It matches the Rfam family "tRNA". Rfam says of the family: Transfer RNA (tRNA) molecules are approximately 80 nucleotides in length. The record is from Rfam. NCBI's taxonomy places the organism in Bacteria, Bacillati, Bacillota, Clostridia, Eubacteriales, Clostridiales Family XVII. Incertae Sedis.
GCGGGCGUGGCGGAACGGCAGACGCGCCAGACUUAGGAUCUGGUGGGUUCGUCCCGUGGGAGUUCGAGUCUCCCCGCCCGCA